Octodon degus (degu) is the source of this 313-nucleotide unclassified non-coding RNA. Its record names the gene 7SK. It matches the Rfam family "7SK RNA". From Rfam's summary of the family: 7SK was discovered as an abundant small nuclear RNA in the mid-70s but a possible function has only recently been suggested. Two independent studies have found that 7SK RNA binds the CDK9/cyclin T complex (known as elongation factor P-TEFb). The record is from Ensembl. Lineage: Eukaryota; Metazoa; Chordata; Mammalia; Rodentia; Octodontidae.
GGAUGUGAGGGCGAUCUGGCUGCAACAUCCGUCAUUCCGUCGGUCGCCAGGGUUGAUGAGGCUGAUCCGCCUGGUGAGGCGGUGUCCCCUUUCAUCCUCACUGUGCCGCAUGUGUCCCUCCGAGCUGCACCCUCGGGGUGGAGGAGGACGACCACCCCGGUGGGGGAGGACUGUUCUUCGGCCAAGGAUACACGAGUAGCUGCGCUGCCCCCUAGAACCUGCAAGCAACUCUCAAGGAACCCAUUCCAGUGUGCUCACAAGCUAUAAAUUGCUCCUCACAGUGCCAAUAAUAGUUGCACUAGCAAAAGAAAUU